RNAcentral lists this non-coding RNA (798 nucleotides) under Xenophyes cascus. The record is from RNAcentral. Lineage: Eukaryota; Metazoa; Arthropoda; Insecta; Hemiptera; Peloridiidae.
AUGAUUUUGGUCUAAAACUAAUUGUGUGGGGAUAAUUUUAUAUGUUAAUUUUAGUGUAUGUCUCUAAUGGCUUAAUGCCCAGGAUUUAAAUAUUAGGCAGUAUUUAGUUUUGGAAAUAGGAGGAAUAAUCUUGAAUUAGUUGUCUUUCUAGCUUUAACUAAAUUAGGGUGCCAGCAGUUGCGGUUAGACCUGAGAGGCAAAUGAUUAUGAUUGACAUUACAUUUUAUAUUUAGUUGUCAGGGGUGAUUUAAUUGAAUAAUUAUCAGGUGAAAUAGAAAUGUUUUAUUACACUCUUUUAUACAUAGAUGGUAAAUUUCUAAUAUAAACUAGGAUUAGAUACCCUAUUAUUGGGAAUGAGUUAAACUAUUAUUUGUUUUAUUAGUUUAAGAUAUGGUCUUGAAAUUAAAAGAAUAUGGCGGUGGUUUAUUUCUAUUCAGAGGAACCUGCCCUAUAAAUGAUAUUCCACGAUUGAUUUUACUUUAUUUAUUUUGUUUGUAUAUCUCUGUUUAAUUAAUUUUUUAUAGAAACAUUUUAUUUUACUUGAAUGGUUUAAAAUUCAGGUCUAGAUGCAGCAUAUAUUGGAGUAGAGGUGGGUUACAUUUGUUAUAAUGGCGGAUAUCGAGAAUGAAAGUCUUUAUGGUGGAAGUUGGAUUUGAGAGUAAUUUUUAUUUAAUUAUAUUUAUGAAGUAAGUUCUGAGCUGUGUACAUAUCGCCCGUCAUUCCUAUCUACAAGGUAGGACAAGUCGUAACAUAGUAGCUGUACUGGAAAGUGUAGCUGGUUGAUUUAUCAAAUUAAAA